AGUAGUACGCAGUAGUUCCUCUUUCGCCUGUUGGGAAGCCUCAACCAAGUUCAAUGCAUUGCUGCCAUCAAGAGGAUAGGAUGGAAUGGAACUCGAUUGAAUGCUGCAGUCCUGGGAAGAAACAAUGGCACUAGGUGUGGUGUGCUGUGCCAUACCUCCUUGGUGAGGUCAUCGUUGUUGUCCCGCUCGCUCGGCUGCUCCUGGCUGUCCUCCGGGGCCACCGCUCCCAGGCUGUCCUCUCCGCCGUGGCUGUAGGUGGACUCAGACGCUCCGCUGCCCCCCCUCAUGGUGGAGGCUUCGGAGUUGUUCACAUCCUCCAGACCACCGCCAUUGUCCAGGGUAAUGCUGGGGCUUGACUGGCCGGCAGCGGACACCACCGUUUCCGGGUCGCGGUGCACCAGCCAGGCGCUGACCUCGGUGCUGGGCACACGCAGGUGAUCCAGAGAGCGCACCUGGUUCAGCAACCGGCGCGUGGCGAAGAAGUGAUCCAGGUCCACACUCUUGGGAUGGAUGCCAUAGCCGUCCAGUGUGUUGCGGAGGUUGUGGAACUGCGUCUGGGUGUAGGCCGAGCUGGGGCCCAGGAUGAUCUCGCGCAGUGGGGGCAGCUGAUUGUUCAGGUAGGUGUCCACGUCCACCCGCACCCCAAUGAGACUCAGUAGGAUGGUGAACUGAAUCAGGCCCUCUGUGAAGUACUUUUUCAGGUAAAGCAUUUCUUAGCAAAGCACCAAAAAAAUGAAAGUAAAAAUAAAA
Molecule: long non-coding RNA, 750 nt
Organism: Alosa sapidissima (American shad)
Lineage: Eukaryota; Metazoa; Chordata; Actinopteri; Clupeiformes; Clupeidae
Exons: 2
Source: RefSeq, a predicted model, not a curated record